This is a non-coding RNA of Cyanistes caeruleus (blue tit), 644 nucleotides long. NCBI's taxonomy places the organism in Eukaryota, Metazoa, Chordata, Aves, Passeriformes, Paridae. The record is from RefSeq and is a predicted model, not a curated record.
UGUCCCCAAAGCCACCUCACAGGGCAGGGAGGUGUCCCCAAAGCCACCUCACAGGACAGGGAGGUGUCCCCAAAGCCACCUCAGCCAGCUCUGCUGGCCCCAGCCCCAGGGCUCCUCUUCAGCCAGCUCCUCCCGCAGCAUUCCAGUGCCAUUCCACAGCAGGACAGGGAUUUGCUCCUCAGCUUGGCCAUUCCCUGCAAUUUUUCACUGCAAUCACCUAAAGGCACAUUAAACACUUCCUUUGCAGGUGAAGACCAAACAUUUGUGGUAGCACAUGAGAUGCAAAUGGAACAAAGAUCAACAGUAGCAACACAAGCAGCUGAAAGCCACAACUACAGGAGCCACAGGACUACUUGAAGGUGGAGAUUCUGUGGAGAAUAAUCCUUAGUUCAAGAGAAAAACCACUGCAGAGUGUUGGUAGCUAUAAAUCACCCUCAGAGCUCUUUAGGAGAAUUCCAGAUGGGAAAACAGAGACCAUCAGCACAUCAGCAGCCCCUUGGGAAUGCCAAGAAAUUCAGAUUUGCUGGAGAAAUGCGAGUCCUGUUGCUGAGAAACCUCUAAAGGGCAAGGGAGAGAAUCACCUCUACAGGGUGUCAGUGACUCAAACCUGUAAAGGACAUGGAAUAAACAGGAAUAAACAGGAA